Molecule: long non-coding RNA, 679 nt
Organism: Dendrobium catenatum
Lineage: Eukaryota; Viridiplantae; Streptophyta; Magnoliopsida; Asparagales; Orchidaceae
Exons: 2
Source: RefSeq, a predicted model, not a curated record
GGUUUGGCCGGGGGUGAUCACCACCGUGUCGACGGUGAAGGGCUUGGUGUAGAUGGCGUCGACCUCGACGACGGUGAGCUUGUGCCCGGCGAUUUUGAAGAAGAGGUCCUCGUUGAGUGCAGCGUUGACGAUGCGGAGCAGAAACACAAGAAGCUAUUGGUCCGGGAUGGCCGUUGAUGGUGUGGGCGUCGGAGACGUUGGGUGCUAAGCCAGUUUUCGUAGCCUGGUUGAUCACCGCCUCUGUGUCGGCGUUCCACCAUUCGCCUGCAAUUCGAGUCACAAAAUAUAAUCUUUAUGAAAUUUGAAGAUGAACAGGGGAGUGGUGGACAUUGACCAUUUGUUGAGUACCUAAAACAAGAACGACUUCCUGGUGGGGAUUGGAGAAAGGAUAAGGGACGUGGAGCUUGGGCUUGAUGACGAUGGCGCCAUGGACGGUGGCUCGAAGCCAUAAGAUGUGAGCGUGAUACCAAAGUGUGCCUCUUUGUCCGGUGAGGGUGAAGUUGUAGACGUAGCUUUGGCCGGGUUGGAUCGGGCAUUGUGUGAUGUAAGCAGGUCCGUCAGCCCACCCGGUUCGGAUCUGCCUUAUUCCAUGCCUAAGAUUGGUAUACAAUUUCUUAGGUUUGUUUCGUGUUCGACGGAAAACAUAUAUGAUCUGAAUGGAAAUAUCUUGAUUCUGAUC